Molecule: transfer RNA, 63 nt
Filed under: Sigara septemlineata
Lineage: Eukaryota; Metazoa; Arthropoda; Insecta; Hemiptera; Corixidae
Description: tRNA-Trp
Source: RNAcentral
AAAAUCUUAAGUUAAAAAAACUAUUAGCCUUCAAAGCUGAAAUUAUUAUAUUUUUAGAUUUUA